GUAAGAAAUACGGUGAGACAGUUUAUUUGGAAGAAGGGUGAGAGCUCCAAAAUACCGAAAGCUUCCAUGGUACAAAUCAAGUAAAAUCGAAAUCAUAAGAGAAAAUCUUGCAAAAAUCAAGACCAGACAAAAUCAAGGGUAACUGUAACUACCUUUUCUUCAAAAUUCUCUUUCCAAAAUUGCAGCUAAUCAACCAAAAAUUAUAGAUUUUUAUGUUUUAGAUUUUUUUUUACUCAAUUAAUUCAUAUUUUGUUUUAUUUUGAUGUUGUUGAGGUUUUUUCAUUCUAGUACAUAUGAAAUUUCAUCUUUAGAUUAAUAAUUUGAGUUAGUAUAAAUUGAAGAUCAAAUUUUGUAUGGAUUGAAUUGAGUUAAUAUAUAUGAAAAGUUAAAUUUGACUCAGUUUAAGUGAUGCAUGUAGGAUGUUUGUGAAAAUGAGAAUGUGAAAAGUAAGCGGUUGUUCUCUUUGUCGUUUUCAAGCCUAUUUCUGUUUCCGAUUUUUCAAAACUGUGAAAACGCGUUCUCCUACCAAUUUUCGAAAAUGAAUUUUGAAGGAAAAAAAAAUUUGUACACAAAACUCAAAACAUCUUAACAUCUAAAAAGAUGUUUUGAGUGUUUUCUAGCAAAAACCCAGUAUAUUUACAAAACACGGCAAACACUCUCUCAUUUCAUUUUCUCACAAUCCCUGCGUCUCUCUCUCCUUCCACUCCUUUACCUUUUCGCUCACUGCAUCUCUCUCUUCCAACUACCGUGGGUCUGCAUCUUGACUCUCUACACCGUGCGUGUGUACAUCUAUCGUCUGUGGUCUUCCGUGCAUGGUGCGUCUGUGGUGCUGUCUCUGGUCUGCCGUCUUCAAAGGUAUGGAAGAUUGAAACUUUCUGAUUUAGGGCCUUCUGAUUUAAGGAUUUGUAUAGCUCUGACCACAUGGUUGUUCCUGUUGAUUUUACAGAUUCUUCUUCUAGCUUUGAGAACUUGGAGAAUAAGUGUACAUUUCUCUACAUCUCUCUGCUCGUGUGUGGUAUAUGUUUGUUGGGUUCUCAAUUUUUAUAUAAUUCUACUUGGUUAUGGUUGUAAAUGAAAGUAAUUAAUGGUUCCAUAAGUAGUUAUCCUAUUUGUGCUGGUGAUAUAGAUGGCUGCUUGCGCAGAAUUUCCAAUUUCUUUUUGGGAGUGUCAAACAUGGUGAAGUUCAGGUGUGAUUUUUUGAAGAAAAGGGUUUUGCAGGGAAGAUAUGCAAAUUAAAGGUUACAAAUAAAAUUGAAAGAGUGCACAGGUUAACUUAUUUUCAAAUGGAAGAUUAAAAAGAUGUUGAUAAAAGAGGAAAAGUGUGAAUAUGAAAGCCCUGUUAUGUCCAUAGGGCAGAAUAAGGCUUAACAUGGCUUCUUGUAGUUGCAAGUGGUUUUGUUCCAUUGAACUUCUAAGGGAUUUAGUGAUAAACUGGAUGGAAUGGUGAGAAAGUGUUCGUGUACCCAUCCCAGUUGGAAAUUGGAUGUAUUAUUUCUUUAUGUACAAUCUAUGAUCAAGAAACUUGUGGAAUUGCAGAGGUUGGGAAGUAAUCAAUUUGCAGGAUGUGUAGUGAAAUUUACAAUCCAACUGGAGAUUGGGAAAGGGUUAAGGCAAAGAGAAAAGAGUUUUAAGCAAGAAAUAUUGGAGAAUCUAAAAGAGGGAUGCGUUUCUGAGGCUGAAGCAGCCACCAUUGCUGCAGAGGUUUUGUGGGGGGCUUCACCUUGAAAAUUUGGAAAGCUAAUAGGAGUAAAAAUGGGAGAUUAUGGAUUUAUUUUUUUAUUUUAGAAAUUUUUUGGUGAAAAAAUUGUGUUGUAUAAUAUGUUUGGAAAUGUGUUUAUUAUGAAUAAUUGAAAAUCAUUUCAUAAUUUAGAAUUUAAAACAUGGAUAUCCUUUCUAAUAUUUUGUAAGGUAGGAAAUUAAGAAUGGCAAUGAAAUGGGGACAAAACAACCAUUACUAUCCUAUCCAAUUGAGUCAAGAAAAAUAAAUUAAAUCAUAAUUAAAAAAAAAACGUUUGUUUGUCAUCCAUUUUGGACGAGUACCUUGGACUAUAAUUAGGAGUACAUUGGACUAUAAUCAUUAGUUCGAAUCCUUACACUCCUGUUUUAGCGAACUCAUCUAUUCAUAAUCACAAAGUGGUACGAUUGCCUUUGUCCCUUAAUGCUUAUGCUCAAGCCAAUUGUUCAAGUUCUAAGAUACCGACUCCUGAUGUCUUUAUAGUCCAGGUGACAACCUAUGCUCAUUCAGUCAUUAGAAAAGUGACAUCCGAGGGAUUAUAAUUUUUUGUUAUCUCACUAUCAUAUGAUUGGCUUUAGUUUUACGCUAAUGUUGAAUUUUGUGAAACUUUUUGGUUAGGUUCAAACCCUCACACUGUCGUUUUAGAGAACUCAUCUAUGUAUGUAUUGCUUCCUUCGACUGGAGUUACAGUGGAAUUUGCAAGUCAAUAGAGAAGAUCAAAUUUGCACAACCAGAUUGUGAAUGGAAAGCACGAGUUAUGGAGCUACGACAUCUUUUGCAUUAGAAUAGAGGGGAUAUUCCCAAAAAGAAAAAAGGGAUAGAGAGGAUGUUAUUUUUUUUGGAUAUGAUACAUGAUUGAGAGUAUAAUAGCAUCAAAUGUGUUAUUUGCCUCAAAAGGACUAUAGACUUUUGAAGUAAUUUAUACACCUGACGUUUUAAUCAAGGCAAAUUUUACAUUUCACGAUCAUGUUUCAUGUUAUUGAAUUUCGAUUUAUGUUUCUGUUUUUGUUUGGUCAUUCUGUAUUUAUGCAUGAUUAAAAACUAUCGUCUCGACUCAAAAUAAG
This 2799-nucleotide long non-coding RNA is filed under the name Olea europaea subsp. europaea. Lineage: Eukaryota; Viridiplantae; Streptophyta; Magnoliopsida; Lamiales; Oleaceae. The record is from RNAcentral.